UUCAUUCACCAUAAAUUUCUCAUCAGUUAUCUUAAGAUUGUCAUCCUUUCAAAUUUAACACAAAGUUGAACUUAAUUAAACAAGUGUCAAUAAAAAUCAACAAGAUCUUAUCAGUAAAACAAGUGUUAACUGAUGUAUUGAGUAUCUUACUUGUCUCUAAACACCUACUCAUGAGAUGUUUAUCUUCUAUCUGUUGAAAUAAAGAAACAAGAGAUUGAUUAGAACUAAGUUAACUAACCAAGAAAUCUAAUUAAAUAAAAUAAUUUAAUUCUCAACAAGCGUUCAAAAACAAUUCCUUUAACAAAAACUCGAUUUAAAAAAAAACAACAAUCAAGCAUAAUCUGCUACAAAAAAUUGAAGAACAAAAUGUUAUUGAACAAAACCUCAUAAUUCAAUUAGAAAUCACAAAGGGCACUCCACAAGGUUUAUCCUUUCACGAGGAAGACGAAAAUAAGAAAAUUACAGAAAGGGAAACUAAGUCUAUAGUGUGUUCUGCGACUAUUCAACCUCCCUUUGUUCUUUCUUUGAAGUCUUUUUUAUAAUCUUCUUUUUCUUUUAAAAAAUUCGAAUUCAAAUUUGUCUCAAGAUAUUGUUUAUUAAUUUAGAAAUGUUUUCUUUCUUUGUUUCAACUUGUUGAGCAUAUAUUCUUUCCCAACCAGUUAUUUAUCUUGUUUUCGCUCCUCUUUCUCAUGUAUUGUUUCCAAAUUUGAUUAGAUUUUCACAUUGAUUAUAAUUAAGCUCAAUGUUGUGAGAGAUAUUGCAGAAGAUUUGCCUGAAGUUCAAAGUAUUCAAGGUUAAUUGUUGCAUCAAUUCUUCCAAAGAAGGUCCACAUUUAGUAGGCGCAACAACUGGUGUUGGAGGUUGUACUAGACUAUCCAGACAUUGUUACAUGAUAUAAUACCCACUAAACGGUCUUAUGAUAAGAGAGUUUAUGAGUUUUGAUGAAACAAACACUAUAAAAUAGGUUAAAGGUAUAACAAAGCUAAUGGAUGUCCAUGUAUCAAAGCUUCAACAUGUUAGACGAUUUCACAAUGAUUAACAAAUUAAUCUGUUAGACGGUCUAAUUGUGUAAAACGUGCUAGACGAUCUCCCUAUGUUAAACAUAUUAGACGGUCUCUUUAUGUUAGACUCACUAGACUAUUUCAGUAGAUUACAACUUGCUAGAUAAUCUUUAAAUACAAAACACGUCAGAUGAUCUAGUUUUCCUUUUCGUGAUACAGGUCUAACGUAUGAAGGAAGUUUCUAAUCUCAAUCUAUGUACUCUAAAAACAUUUUCUAAAGAUUCUUGAAUGUUUUCCAACCUGAUUUAAUAUUUUUCGCAACCAGGGUCAUGACGGGGACAACAAACCAAAACGAAUUUGGAAAUACAGAGAAGGGAGUCACCACCACAGUUUAUUGCAGAAAACUACAAAAAAAAUAAAAAAAGAUGUCCUGCAAACCAAAUUUAGGGUCCGGGAGUCAAUUAUAUGUAAAGAAGGUAUGAACAUGAUACCUUUAAUUAAAUAUGUGAAUCGAAUGAUGUUUUCCAAAAGUAGAAACAAAAUGCAUUAAGAAAUUAUUUUUGAAUUCUUUAUUUGAGGUUCGACAAGAAUGAACCAUAGCCUUAUGUAUUUUUCGUUUAUAACAAAAAAUUAGAAUUUUCAUAAUUCGUUUAUAACAAAAAAUUAGAAUUUUCAUAAUUCUAAAGUUAAACUAUUGGAAAAAGGGAUGUACCAAUUUGAGUUGGACUUUUGAAAAAGAUAAAACUGGAUUUUUUAAAAAGUGAACCCAACAACAAUUAAUCUUGCUACUACAUAUUUUUGUUCAUAACAAAAAAUAAGGAUCGUGUAGUUCUCACAAUCAAUUAUUUGAAGAAAAAAAAAUUGUUUGUUGAUAUUUUUUAAUUUUUGAAAAUUUUAUAUUUUUAUAUUUUAUGUUUUUAUUAUUUUUUAUUUUUACUCAAAUGAUUGUUUUAGAAAUUCAAAUUUUUAUAUAUUUAUUAUUAUUUUUCUAAAGAAAUUAAAAACUGAUGGGUGUAUAAAAUAAAAAAAGGGGUGGCAGAAAGCAAAAGUGCUGAGCCAGUUGAAUGUGCAAAGACUGAUUUGGUAAGGGUGGUGCGGAUAAAACUGUGGUGCAGAUAGUGAAAGUAUUGGGGGAGGCAAUAUAAAUUGAAAAUCCAGAAUUGAAAAAACACAAUUCAGAGUUCAUGAAAUAGGGAUGCUGGAAGUAAAGGGCUGGGUUCAGAAACUUGCAAGCUAGACAGUCGCAUUGUGGCGCGACGGUGGCAGGUGACUUUUGCAGCGGCGGCGGGGCAGCGGUAUGAUAGUGGUCGCCGGCAAUGUAGUUGAUGGCGCUGGAGGGCGGCGUUGGUGUCCGGUGCGUGGAGGAGCACGCGUGAUGGUGUGUACGGGUGCGUGGCUGGGCGACGGCCGACGCGGAUUCUGUCGGCGGGGCUGCGUUGGCUGUAGCGGUGGUCGUCGGUGGAGUGGUGCGGUGAAAGCAGCGGAGAGUGUGAGGAAUGGGGUGACUGCCUCUGUGAGCGUGAGUGAGAAACAAAAAAAAAAGGGUAGUGAGUCGUGGAGUGAGAGUUUGGAGGUGAUGUGUGUUUUUGUCCUUUGGUAUGGGUUACCCCACCACGGUCUAUUAAGCCCACUUUUAAACUAUGUUAAAGGUUCAAGUUAGUUCAUUCAGUUACUAUUUAAGGUCUGAAAUUAUCAUAAAUAGAAGUAAGGUCUGAAAUUAUCAUAAAUAGUUUUAGUAUUUCAUAGUUAGUUUUAGUAUAGAUAGGAGUUGUUGUUCUUUUAGAGUUUUCAUUACUCUUAUAAUGUCUCCAAACAAAACAAAAAACUUAAAUAAAAUACUAAACUCCAUAAAAAAAGUGUUUAUCUACUAUUGAAGAAAUUGAAUACCUCUCCUCAAAAUCCCACACGGCUUAAACACCAGCGCCACGUCAUCAGCAUCGCACAGCUCCACUCAAUCACUAGAACAACCUCUACGCACAUUAGGUUGCACGCUGCAGCUCGCUGCACCUUGAGCCGGUCAACCACCAACGCCCCAAUUGUCACGUUGUCCAGUGUCGCCUAAAACAGUCUUCGCACACACCGGGCUCCAUCCCGCAACAUCGCUAUCAGCGUUUAGAUCCGUUCAACUAUCAUCAACCCAGUCGUUACCGCGCCGUCCAAUGUCGCUUGCAACUACACCUCUCGCAUAUAUCCCAAUUUUCGCGUCCCCCUUCGUCAUCUCCUUUAGAGCACCAAAAAUUGUUUCUCCCACUAACUUCAUCUCUCCCGUGAACGACACUCAAAUACAACCCAAAACAAAAGAAGCGCAGUAGCAAAGCUAAAAAAGAACGACAACCUCCACAUCAUUCUACAUCGCCCUCUAUCAAAAUUAUUCAGCCCCAACCCACCUUCACUCUUGAGGACCAAUUACAAUUUCUAAAAUGUAAGAUAA
RNAcentral lists this long non-coding RNA (3432 nucleotides) under Phaseolus vulgaris (common bean). RNAcentral describes it as "long non-coding RNA (PVUL_LNC001653)". Lineage: Eukaryota; Viridiplantae; Streptophyta; Magnoliopsida; Fabales; Fabaceae. The record is from RNAcentral.